AGUAAGGGCGACUGAACAGGGAAAAGCUCAGCGCAGAACCUCCCGGGCCCAACAGCCUGCGGCGGAAUGUUGCGUUAAGGGAGAGGUCGGUUUGAAACCCCACAGCCACGCGAUCGCUAAGUCCUGCCACGAGUGGCGUUCCCGACGAAAGGAGGGAUUGUGGCGCCGUGGAGGGUGACAGUCCCGUGUGGACGCGUGCGAUUGCUGUGCAUGGGUAAGGCCUUUCUCCCUGUGAGUCGCGUUGCUUGCACAUGCAGCGCUAAGCAGGUCGUAAACUCGAUCUAAGGCUAAAUAUAUCCACAGAACCGAUAGUAAACAAGUACCGUAAGGGAAAGUUGAAAAGAACUCUGGAGAGAGAGUCAAAAGACCGUGAAACCGCUCAGAGUAUAAGCCGAUGGCGCUAGAAGGCAACCGGUGGCAUGGCGACCUUGGGGCUUCGGCCUCGGGUCGUCCGAAAUGCCUGAGAAUUGGGUAGUUGGAGUGAGUAGCACUGAGCUGCUCGCCCAUCAGGCGGGUCCGUUCAUGGGCGAACACAAGUGGUGUCGUUCCGCUGGCGGGCCCGUGGCUGGACGACUCUCUCGAGGCAUCACACGGUCAUUGCCCACCACAGCUCGUUGCUUGGUCACCCGCUGGGUCUAAGAAGGCAGAUGUUUCAACCAGGGUCCGGGCUUUGAAGGCGCUGGGAUGGGCGAUCUGCGUGCGUUUCCGUUUGCAAGACGGCGCACGCACGCCCGCGCCGUGCUCGCGCCAUCCUGGCUCUGACUGUCGACACAGACGUGGUGUGAUCCAUCCGGCGACGAUGCUGCAAUUGGCCAGACGCAUGCAACCCUCAGCUCCGCCACCAUGUGCCGGUGGUGGAGUACCUGCGGGCAGGCUGUUUGCGUCGCAUGCCCUUGGCAUACGCUCAGCCUGGGGGCUUGGUCUGAUUGGUGAUUCUCUAGCGACCAUCGGUCACGUCUCGAAACACGGGCCAAGGAGUAUAGCAUGUGUGCAAGUCUAAGGGUCUCACAAAACCCGAGGGCGAAGUGAAAGCAAAGGUGUGGCGGCGCUUGCGCCGUCAGCCGUGCAAAUGGUUGCUAGUACCGAGCUGAUCCUGCAUCCCUCGUUGGGAGCAGGCGCAAGCUCCGGGCUCACGCUUUCGUUCGGUUCGCUUUCUUCCUUUGUGGGGACUGUGGACUGAAUGGUGAGCACCGCGGAGCAUGCAUGCUAUGACCCGAAAGAUAGUGAACUAUGCCUGGCGAGGGUGAAGCCCCAGGAAACUGGGGUGGAGGCCCGUAGCCGUUGUGACGUGCAAAUCCAUGGCGUCAGUUGGGCAUAGGGGCGAAAGACCAAUCGAAC
Molecule: ribosomal RNA, 1338 nt
Filed under: Platorchestia pacifica
Lineage: Eukaryota; Metazoa; Arthropoda; Malacostraca; Amphipoda; Talitridae
Description: eukaryotic LSU rRNA
Rfam family: Eukaryotic large subunit ribosomal RNA
Source: RNAcentral